CUCUCCCACACACUGGUAUAAAAACUGAACAAAGGUUGCAUAUGACCAUUGCUUCUUUGGAAUCAUGGAAAGGCCAGACCAAGAAAUAUUGAUGGAGAUGUUGAUGCAUAUUCAGUAUAUGGCACUUAAAGACCAAGCUGCUAGAUUGUUACUUAGGCGAAAGAGGAGGAGAAUCGUAAUGCAGCGUAGAUCUUGCUGGAUGACAAGAAGAUUCUGAGCUGUAUUUAUACUGAAACUGGAUCUGAUUCAGCUGCUGCAAAGCGUGGCGACAGCGGCGCAGAAACAUGGUAGAACCGUAGUAAGCUCGUGGUAGAAUCGUUGUAAGAUCGUGGUACAAUCGUGGCAGAAGCGUAGGAAACCCGUGUUGCAGUUCUAUCAUUUUUUUUAGAUCGUGGUAAGAGCGUAGUUAGAACAUGAUGGACGUAGUGGGAGCGUAGUAAGAACUUGAUGAACGUGGUGAAAUCGUAACAAGGCCCUAGUUUAAUCGUAAUGGAGUCGUGAUAAGAGCGUAGUGAGGACGCAGUAACAUCGUGAAGACAGACAAAAUUACAAAUUCAUGCCGUUCGCAUUACGAUCUCACCACGAUCUAAAACAAGAGGCCCAUGGGCCACAUCGCUCACCUGAGAAAAGAGUGUUUAUGUUUAUGUUUUAAACCCAACAUGGCAGGUGUGACCAGAAAAUCAAUAGGGGGUCAUACACGUUGUAAAUAUGUGAAUUAAGUGUGUAAUUAUAACAAUUGAAUGCCCUUCAGUCAAAGAUUUUUGGUGCCAAGAUUAAUGAUAUUCACCAAGUUGUUCAAAAGGAAUCGACGGCGAGUUUUUUUCUUCUUAAUUUAUAAAUGAAGACAAAAAUGAAAUUAUAUCACUAGAUUUAUUUGGAUGCAAAAUUUACAAGAGCAGAAAAAAUUGAAAAUUUAUCUACAUUUACAAACAUGUAGGUCAAAAUUGUUUUUGUAAAGUGAUCUGAUGGAACAGGUGAGCCUUUGAGUUUACAAGUGUAUAUAAAUAGUGAAUAUUUUUUCCUAUAUAUUCCCAUGUAAAAUUUCUUAAACACUCCUCCUUAUAUAUUCCCAUGUAAAAAAAAAAAUCAAAAAAAAUGUGGCCCCAACCUUCGCCAGGGGACCAUGAAUUCCACAAAUUUUAAUCUGCACUACCUGAUAAUGCUUUUACAUUAAAAUGACUAAUCAUUACUAUGAUCUUGAGAUGAAGAUUUUUGAACAUAUAUUUUUUUAAAUAUUUCAAUGUCAAACUUUGAACCCCUAUUGUGGUCCCUCCCUACCCCCUGGGGGCAUGACUUGAACAAACUUGAAUUUACACUACCUGAAGAUGCUUCCAUAUAAAUAUGAUUAAUCACAGCUUUGCUAUUCUUGAGAAGAAGAUUUUUAAAGAUUUUCCCUAUAUAUUUGUGUGUAAAACUUUGAUCCCCCCUUGGGGCUCCAUCUUAUCCCCGGGGCCAUGAUUUGAACAAACUUGAAUCUGCACUAUGUCAGAAAGUUUUCAUGUAAAAAUCAGCUUUUCUGGCUCAGUGGUUCUUGAGAAGAAGAUUUUUAAAGAUUUUUCCUAUAUAUUUGUAUGUAAAACUUUGAUCCCCUAUUGUGGCCCCAUCCAACCCCCGGGGCCCAUGAUUUGAACAAACUUGAAUCUUCAUUAUGUCAGGAAGCUUUCAUGUAAAUCUCAGCUUUUCUGGCUCAGUGGUUCUUGAGAAGAUUUUUAAAGAUUUUUCCUAUAUAUUUGUAUGUAAAACUUUGAUCCCCUAUUGUGGCCCCAUCCAACCCCCGAGGGCCAUGAUUUGAACAAACUUGAAUCUGCAUUAUGUCAGGAAGCUUUCAUGUAAAUCUCAGCUUUUCUGGCUUAGUGGUUCUUGAGAAGAAGGUUUUUAAAGUUUUUCCCUAUAUAUUUGUGUGUAAAACUUUGAUCCCCCCUUGGGGCCCCAUCCUAUCCCCGGGGGCCAUGAUUUGAACAAACUUGAAUCUGCACUAUGUCAGAAAGUUUUCAUGUAAAAAUCAUCUUUUCUGACUCAGUGGUUCUUGAGAAGAAGAUUUUUAAAGAUUUUUCCUAUAUAUUUGUAUGUAAAACUUUGAUCCCCUAUUGUGGCCCCAUCCAACCCCCGGGGCCCAUGAUUUGAACAAACUUGAAUCUGCAUUAUGUCAGGAAGCUUUCAUGUAAAUCUCAGCUUUUCUGGCUUAGUGGUUCUUGAGAAGAAGAUUUUUAAAGUUUUUUCCUAUAUAUUUGUAUGUAAAACUUUGAUCCCCUAUUGUGGCCCCAUCCUACCACUGGGGGCCAUGAUUUGAACAAACUUGAAUCUGCAAUAUGUCAGGAAGUUUUCAGGUAAAUUUCAGCUCUUCUGGUCCAGUGGUUCUUGAGAAGAAGAUUUUUAAAUGACCCCACCCUAUUUUUGCAUUUUUGUGAUUAUCUCCCCUUUGAAAGGGACAUGGCCCUUCAUUUGAACAAAAUUGAAAGCCCUUCACCCAAGGAUGCUUUUGGCCAAGUUAGGUUGAAAUUGGCCCAGUGGUUCUGGAGAAGAAGUCGAAAAUGUGAAAAGUUUACGGACAGACAGACAGACAGACAGACGGACGCCGGACAAAAUGUGAUCAGAAUAGCUCACUUGAACCUUCGGUUCAGGUGAGCUAAAAAUGAUAGAACGUAGUGAGGUCGUGAUGUAGUGUGACAGGGCCAUUAGUGAAUAUGAACCAAUUUUGUAUAAUUAAAUAAAUGUGUAUAUGUUUAAUUGUUCAGAAUGCAAAGUUGCAGUACGUAUUCACGUAGACAUAUAACGGACAACAUAUAUCUGUUAUAUGUCUAUGCCCGGGGCAGGGUUGGCAAAAAAGUGGUCGAUAUGAGACCGGUGGUCAAUACUGGUUAAAACUGGUUAAUACUGGUCGAUUGAAAAUUGUUUGGUAUAUAUAAUAUACUUUAAUAUAAGUCAUAAUGUUACAUAAAUAAUGUACAAAUGACUCUGUUGAAUUGGGGAGAUUAAAUAUUGUAAAAGUUUCUGUUCAAAUUCCUUAAUUUAACAAGAACUACCUUAGUAUAAGUAUUGUUUCAUCAAUCUUCAUUUUAACUGUUGAAUACUGUUGAAUAAACAUUUGAGGGUGGGUUAGUGAUGUUUUCAUAACAAUAACAGGUACACUGGUCAUAUCUGGUCCCAGCCUAUGCUUAUUAACACCGGUCUACUCUGCUUCCUGGGCUCAGGUAAUGUCCAGCUACCUUUAUUCUUAAUCUGUCCAGGUACAUGUAUUAAGAGGUCUGUCUCCAAUCAAGCUAUGUUAUAGAACUGUGACCCUCUGGUAGUUACUGAAGAUAUUUCGGUCAGUUUUAGCAAACCAAAUAUAUCAAAAUUAUGAAAUUACAUUUGAUUAUCUAAUGAAAAAUAUUAAUCAACAAUUGAUCCAUAUAAUGAAAAGACUUAAUUUAUCUUUAUCUUUGCAAGAAAUGUACAAAAAUAGGAAAAUGGACAGUUUAAAUCACAAUUGACCUUUAUUGACCACUUGGGGAGUAUUGACCAGGAUGGUUAAAACCACUGGUUUUAACCGCCCAACCCUGCUAUGCCUCUGGUAUUCAGAGAUAGAUCAUACUAACUAAUUACUUUUUCUUUAAUUAAGUGAAUUUAUACAUUACUUGUUUCUCCUAACUACUAAUUUAUGGCAUAAAUUGAAGAUUCAGUCCCUGGUGUUGGAGAUCUUUUAUCUUGAAAACAAUAGAUGCUAGUGCCACACAACCAAAGAAUGUAGUAAAUAUACUGCUACCUUUGCAUGUAUUUAUUAGCAAAUUAAGGUACUAGUAAAUAUAAAUGUAAGGAACAAAUGUCUAGGGUGUUUUUUAUCUAUUAAAAAGAUUGUAUCAAACUCUAAAUCUAAUAAGUAAAAUUUUGUAAUAUUCCAGCUUCAGGAAGUUUAUCCUAUCAUAAUAGAGGUGAUUAGCUACUUUGAACCUACUUUCAUGGAUCUACCAUAUUAUCUUAUUUUUACUAUGGCAUUUGACUUUAUGUUACUUUUCAAAGAAGGUGUAAUUUAUACAUAUAACGUGCAUCACAUGUAAUUUUAAUGAUGCAGGCAAAUGAUUUUGAUGCAAUAUAAAAGGCAAGCGUGAACUGUAUAUCUACCCAGAUUAGAUUCAAUAAGAAUUGAAGGUCAAAACCAUGGUGGUAACACAAAGCAUCUGCAUACAAGAUUUUUUAGGCUUGUUAAAUGGAAAAAUUAUAUGAAAAUAAUAGUCUCCAGUAAUAUCUACAUUUUAACUCAUAUGAGAAAUCUUAUAGCAGUUUCAAUAUUCAGACAGAUCAUGAGAUGGAAACCAAUGUGAUUGAGACGAAAAGGGAGUACAACUCGAAAUAUCAAGGAAAAACAAGAAAGGCCAUUGUGAAUCAGCAGAUGAUGUCCUAUACAACCAUCCUUCCAUGACACAUGCAAUGGGAAGUUUAUUUCAGGAAACAAAGCCUGUCUGAAGCUCCAAAAUGACAUUUCCAGAAAGCUGAAGAAUGGAUAAAAAUGUAUCUACCAUCUUACAACCCAGAUUUCAUUCCACUGAAAAGAAAAGGGACAGGAAAUUUUGCAUGUCAAUGUCUUGGAAGGUGAAUAGGUGGAAAGUCAAUAGAUGCUUACCAUAUCAGAUGCUUGCAGAGGAUACUGGGGAUAAAGUAGCAGAAAAUUAUGGAAAACAGGGAAGUGACAGCCAGGACUAUGGAGGGGAGGUGACAAUGACAGUGAGAUGGCAUUAGGUUGAAAACCAGAAGGGAAGAGGGCAUUUAAGAGACCGAAAACAACCUGGAGAGGAACAGUAGAAGCCAUUAUGACACUUGUUGGAGAUAGGAUGACCAGGAAUAUGAAUGGAUGUGCUGGAAACUGUACUAAGACCCUUAUGUAUUUGGAUUGAUUUACAUACCAUCAUGAUUUUGCUAUGAAAAACUUGAAAAUAUCCUCAACUCAUAUUGUAGCUGACAUUAUACAUUUGUACUUAUUAAUACUUCAAAUGAACAUAUUUUUAGACAUACAAUAUCUAAACUUUGGAGUCCAUGUACAUCUCCACAUUGGAUAAUAGGUUAUGAUAUAUGUGUGUGAAAUCUUUUCCUAUGGUAUGCACAUGUUAACACAUUAGUUUAAAUGAUGAUGUAUAUCUUAUGACUAUGGAAGAAAAUGUGUUCAGAACAGAAUAUGUGUCUAGAAGAGUUGUUGCCCUUGAAUGUAAUUCAUUAUUUACAUGGGGUUGAAAAAUAAUCCAGCACACAGUAGUACUAAAUGCAUUAUGUUAAAAUACAUUUAUGAAUGGUAUAAGUGAUACUGUCAAUUACUGAUUAAUACACUUUGUGAAAUCAUAUUAUUGUUAUGUUUAAUAAAUUUCAAGGCUGCA
Molecule: long non-coding RNA, 5345 nt
Organism: Ostrea edulis (European flat oyster)
Lineage: Eukaryota; Metazoa; Mollusca; Bivalvia; Ostreida; Ostreidae
Exons: 3
Source: RefSeq, a predicted model, not a curated record